GCUGCCAGCGUGACGUAUAAUCUAGUGGACGGUUCUUCAUAAACAGCUCGUCAACCACCUCGGUAGCUUGCUAGCCAACAUAGCCGAAAGAUUCAAGCUAUUUAUACGCUUUCGAUGUAUAUUACCUACUGUGUUUUCGACACACUUAGGUCGUAUCUAGUUGUUAACCUAUUUAAUAUUACGUUAUUUUGUAUUAGUCAGCUAUAGUAGCUGGCUGGUUAAGUUAGCACUAGCCUAGUCGCUAAUGAUAGCUAGCUAGCUAACAUCCCCGAACAUGAGCUCCCUAAACUUCUCCCCUCCUGCUAAAGAAGAGGAAGUCUGCUGGACGGAGAAAGAGGGUCUGGGGCUGAACAUUGUUGUGAAAGAGGAGGAAGAGGAGGCUGAUUUUGGUGUGAAGGAGGAGGAGGAGGAGAUGACUGUCACAUUGGAGGAAGAAGAGGAGGUUGGAGAUCUGUUUAACCCCAGUUUUCUGUCCUCAGAUAAAGAGCGCUAUGAAAGCCAGUCUACAUAUGAAGAGGUCCCAAUGAAGAGCAGUGGUUCUCAGUCCUGGGGACUCAAAGAGGCACAUUGUUGUUUUUGCCUCAGCACUGCACAGCUGAUUCAAAUGAUCAACUCAUCAUCAAGCUUCAAGUGAUACCUUGUAACUGGAGAUUCCUUCAAAACGAUUGCCUACAGUUACCGUGUAGGGCACUGCAAGGUUGGGUGACCAGGGUCAUCUGGGACUGCCUCUUGGAGGAAUUCAGGUGUGUGAAGGCUACCUGUGUCCUGCGUAACUUCAUGAGGAUGGACACGAGGACCAGGAAGGGAUCUGCAGCUCGCCGCCGUGUCCCAGAGGAGGAGUCUGCUGCUCUGCAGGAUGUUUCAAGGAUGGGGUCCAACAACGCAGCAAGAGAGGCAAUCCGUGUGCAGGAGAUCUUCACCUCCUACUUCUUCAAAGAGGGUGCUGUUCCCUGGCAACACCAUAGACUACACUAUGCACAACCAAAGGCUCUUUUAAGAGGGUACUGUUCCCUGGCAACACCAUAGACUACACUAUGCACAACCAAAGGCUCUUUUAAGAGGGUGCUGUUCCCUGGCAACACCAUAGACUACACUAUGCACAACCAAAGGCUAUUUUAAGAGCCAUCCACAUUGCAAUAAGAGUAUUCUUCCAUUUACUUAGCUAUGUCAACUGUAGUUAUUCAAUUCAUAGUUUCUCUCCCUUUGAUUUCUACUUCUCAGGUGAGGGUGCUGUUUAGGUAAGGGUGUGAUGUCUGUGCAAAAACAAAACAGGCUGUUUUAAAUCACCCAUAUUGAAAAAAUGUAGAACAAUUAGACACCCUAUAACCCACACCUACACACUCAUGUAACAAUCUGAUUGAUGGAUUGUGUUGUGCAGUAAGCAGGCUCAGGUGUAUAACUGUGGCUCCUUCCACCUUCAAAGAAUAGGCAAGAGGGCCAACCAUGGAGAAUAGUAAGACACUUCAUUAUUUCUAUAACUACGCUAUAUUGUUUGUCCUUGUGGGUCCGUUCAUGUUUUUCAGCAUAAAGUACUCUGCAGCCACUUAGUGUGGUGUGGACACCAGGUGAGGCCACACACAGAUUCCUGUUGAACACUGUCACUUUAACUACCUUAUUUUCUCAAUAACAGUCUCUCUCCUUCACUUCAUCCCUCUCUCCCCUUCUCCCUAAGUCCUCUAGGUUAUAUCAGCUGUGUCGGUGAACCCCUCCUGCAUCUGAACUGGCUACAUAGAGGGCACAGCAUGGUCAGAGAUAUGUUUUGAUGUGAGAGGAUGCCAACCCCCAGUCCCAUCAUCACCACCUCACCCUCUUUUAAGAUAACCUUUGGGCCGACUAGAGACACUGCUAUGUAAUUGUGAUGAACUGAGAGAAUAUUUAUGUAGCACUGUGAUUCAUUAAUCAUGUGCUGCCUUCCCUGCUCCUAUGUGCUUACCUCUUUCCCUUUCUGUCUUUUACACCUCUCUCUCCACCUCCUCUUUCUUCCUCUGUUUUUAUAAUGCACAACAGAUGUGCAUUGAAGUACAGAUUGAACUUGUAUUUAUAACACUUGGAUAAUGAGCUUUUCAAUAUUCUCUACUGAUUGAAAUGAAGUGUAAUGUGAUGAAAUACUCCACCUAUCCUGUGUUUAUCAGAUCAAUGCAGAUGAAGGGCAUUAGAUGUUGAGAUGAACCGGUGUUGGAGUAUUUACAUGAUGCAUAGGAAGUGUAGUGUUCUGUUUUUAACAUUAUGUUUCUGUAUAUAUGAAUUAACUAGUUAAAUCCUAUUUCUAGUCUAUUAGUUACAAUGUGUAACCAUUGAUGUCCCAGGACCAAGAUUGGUAAACACUGUUGAAGUGUAGAAUUGUAAUACAUACAUGCAGACACAGCAUCAUUCAAAGACUGGAAUUUGACACUCCUGGUAUUGGAUAUGACUGAAAGAUAAUCUCAAAGACAUUCAUACCUAAACUGCACAUUUAUUUGCCAAGGUACAGUACAUGAUCAGUGAAUAUAUUAAAUGUACAGGCUACAAUGUGGGGAUCUCAUGCAUGGUAAUAACUACAUGUAUAUACGACUUGCAUUCUUGGCACAACAUGAUAUUAUAUUCUACUCAAUCCAUAGGCUUCAUUAAUGUCAUUCAGGCUGUUUUGAAGUUGAUACAACUGGCUAUGAUAGCUGAGGUUCAUAGCUAGGUUCUUAACUAAUAUGUAUACCAAACGUUUGGUUGCAUACACAGAUCGGCUAGAUAGCUAGCUACACAUCCAUGGGCAUACAGGGAUUUUAAUCAUCCACUGCACAAUAAGCAAGAACAUAGCUAGCUACGUGAUUUCAUCUAUCUGCAUGGCAAAUAUCAGUAAGGCAAGCUUACAAAAUUGUACAUUCAAUUUACAGUAAAUUCUUCAGCUAGCUAGAUUCUAUACAUCCACUGUUUCACAAAUCAACCGCCUGGUUUGCUGGUUGUUUCAGGAGUCCCUAAAACAACCAGAAUUACAAUUUCAUACUCAUGUCACAACACCCAUAAAGCUAGCCAGCUAGCUGGCUAAUGUUAGCUGGGUCAGCUAGCUGGCUAAAUCGCGAUUUUCAUGAAUUAACUUUAUGAUAAAAAAAAAUGCAUAAUCGUUUGUCUCUACAUGAACAAACAUUCCUGUCAACUGUACAUGUUUUUUGCAUGAUUCGUUAUGACGUUAUAAUCCCUUACAUUUGCUUCCAUCCUAGUAUUUCCGUCCGCCAUCUUUGAUUCAGUUCAGUUCUGUGUAGGGGUUCCCCUCUCUCCUAGUAUUUCUGUUCGCCAUCUUUGAUUCAGUUCAGUUCUGUGUAGGGGUACCCCUCUCUCCUAGUAUUUCUGUCCGCCAUCUUUGCUGAAGAAAGUGUAACAGUCACUAGCGCAGCAGCAGCCUCCCCCGGUCCUAGUGCCGGCCCGGUAAGAUGUUUAAGAUGCGAUGGAACGGUUGACGAAAUAAGAAAUCACAGACAAAAUAUAUUGACUGAUAUUGAUUUAUUUAGUUUAAAAUUAAUAUUUCAUAUCAGCAGAUUGCGGUCUGCGACUUUAAGGCAAUGCUGCUACUGUGACGUAUAAUCUAGUGGACGGAACGCUUCUUUCAACAGCAGCAACAGACAGUCAGCCACCUCGGUAGCUUGCUAGACAAAAUAGACGAACCAAUAAAGUUCUGUAGACGCUUUAGUGUAUAUUUGCCACUGUAUUUUAAAGCCACUUCUGUCGCCUAGUUAGUUAUCCGUUUUAAUUUCAUAUUUACGGUAUUGUUUUUAUUAUUCAUCUAGCGGGCUGGUUAAGUUAGCAUUAGCCUAGCUAGCUAACAUCUCCAACCAUGAGGUCACUAAGCUACUCUCUUGUUAAUGAAGAGGAGGUCUGCUGGACGGAGAAAGAAGCUCUCGUCAAAGAGGAGGAGGAAGAGAAGGAUAUCACAGUAAAACAAGAAGUAGAGGGUGAGGCUGUUACAGUGAAAGAAGAAGAGAAAGACGCGUUCAGAUUGAAAGAGGAAGAGGAUGUUACAGUAAAAGAAGAGGAGGAAGAGAAAGAGGAGGGUGCAGUUUUUGGAGUGAAGGAGGAGGAGAGGGAGAUGACUGUCACAUUGAAAAAGGAGAUGGAAGAAGAGGAGGAAACUGGAUUUCUGGACUCGGUUUCCCAAACGCAUCUUAAGGCAUCCGAUGGUUCUAACGAUGAACGGGCCCUGGUUAACACAAAACUUCCCAUUUGAAUCAAUAAGGAUUGCAGUUGUGGGUGACUAUCUGGGUGGAGCAGACUGGGAGGCUGGUAUUCUGCCCUGGGCUGGAGCAGACUGGGAGGCUGGUAUUCUGACCUGGGCUGGAGCAGACUGAGAGGCUGGUAUUCUGACCUGUGCUGGAGCAGACUGGGAGGCUGGUAUUCUGACCUGGGCUGGAGCACACUGUGUUGGAGCAGACUGAGAGGCUGGUUUUCUGACCUGGGCUGUGGCAGACUGAGAGGCUGGUAUUCUGACCUGGGCUGGAGCAGACUGGGAG
Long non-coding RNA from Salvelinus fontinalis (brook trout), 4475 nucleotides. RefSeq lists it as uncharacterized. The record is from RefSeq and is a predicted model, not a curated record. The transcript is spliced from 5 exons. Lineage: Eukaryota; Metazoa; Chordata; Actinopteri; Salmoniformes; Salmonidae.